Molecule: RNA transcript, 2237 nt
Organism: Symphalangus syndactylus (siamang)
Lineage: Eukaryota; Metazoa; Chordata; Mammalia; Primates; Hylobatidae
Source: RefSeq, a predicted model, not a curated record
AUGCCCCACUUGCCGCCCAGCGCCUCUUGCGCGCGCCGUACAGGCGCCAGGCCCACCAAGCCUGUCAGGGCCCGACGCCCCCAAAGGCGGCCUCCAGAGAGCCCCUUACCUCCCGCCGGGGCGCUCGAGGCCAGUCGGUGCGCAGGGCGCAAGCGCAGGAGUGACGGGGCGGGGCGUCGCGAGGGGUGGGCAGGGCUGGGCCCCGCCCCACUCCGCGAGGCCCCCAGGCCGGGCGCGGGGGACGCGCAGGCAUACAGGUUCUCUCUCCUCACCACGCGGCUGCUGCUGGAGGAUGGAGGAGGUGUGGUGUCAGCAAUUCAAGACUGUCUUUCCUACCCUCUUCAGUGCCCUUUCUUGAUAAGCUGUUUAAACCAGAACUACUAUCAAUGCCUUUUACAAAAUGAGGUCAUUGGAUUGCAGAGUUGGCCUUCGAGAAGAUUUUGUGGCCUUUCUCAGCUGUCUAGGUGCUGUGUUUCUGUGGCUGCACGGAUGAAGAUGCUACAUCUAAGGACCUACUGAGAUGUUCCCCUUGGUACUAAGAUGAUGAAUAAACCUGAGACACUUGGAAACUUCUAAGCUCUUAUGGGAUGAAUGAUGGUUAUAAUAUCAUUAGAUGCCCAGACAUUACAAGGGAAAGGUUGUCCUGGGUCCUGAGACUACAUCUUUCUCAAGUAAUGUAUAAAACAGACACCCUGAAUCUUUCCUUAUCCUAAGCUGACACCCUUGAAGAGUUGAUGAUGGUAUAAAGUUUGAAGAUGGAGCAAAUAUAUCUGUGGACUCUUUUGCACAUUACUUUUCCCCCCUCUAUUUAGGGUAGAAAUAGGGCUGGUGGACGGAAGCUACCAGAAAAUAUUUUAAUCAAUAUUAAUAAAAACUUUCUAAAAAUGAGGGUAACAAAAAAGAUGGGAGAUGCUUCCUGGAGUGCACUGAGUGGUUCCUGGCAUAUUGUAGAGUUCUCAAUAAAUUACUAACUCUUAUAUAUCUUACAGUUGUUUCACAAACUUUCAGAGUAAGAAAGUAUCAAGGUUAUGUUGGCCUCACCAAAGUGAUUUAGAAAACAUUAUAUCUUUUUCUAUACUCAGGAAGAGCAUGCAUAAUAUUACCAUUAUUUCUUUCUUAAAUGUUUAAGAUAAUUCACCUGCGAAGCCAUCAGGGCCUAGAGUUUUUUCUGGGGGAUAGAUUUUGAUAGCAGAUUCAGCUUGUUUUAUAUAAAUAAAAAUGUCCACAUUUCAGAUCUCUUUUGGUGUCUGUUUCAGAAAGUUGUGCUCUAGACAUUUGUUUCAUCUUAGUUUCAGAUUUAUUUUCACAACAUUUUUCAUAGUAUCUUCUUUUUUUUCUAAUUUCUGUAGGUUCUGUAGUGAUGCCUUCUUUUUAUUCCCGAUACUUCAAAUCUGUCCAUCUCUCUUUUUUCUUCAUGAGUCUUGCAGGAGUUUAUUAAAUUUUAUCUAUUUUUUUUCAAGGAACCAACAUUUGGCUUGACUGAUUCUAUUGUAGAUUUGUUUUCUAUUUCAUUAAUUUUUCUUCCUUAUUAUACUCUUUAUUCUACCUUUUUGGACUUUGUUUUGCUUUUGUCCCUAAGUUCUUGCAGUAGAUACUUAAGUAAUUGAUUUUUAGCUCAUAUUAUUUUUUAAUAUAAGCUUUUAAACCUAUUUUUCUCUCAGCACAUUUUUAACUUCUCCCAUGCUUUUAUAAGCUAUAGAAUCACUACCAUUCAAUUUAAAAUAUUUUCUAAUUUCCAGUGUCAUCACUUCUUUGACACAGAGGUUAUUUAGAAUAUCAUCUAAUUUCCAAACAUAUGGGAAUUUUAGAGUCAUCUUUUUGUAACUGAUAUAGCUUAAUUCCACUGUGGUCAGAAAACAUACUUUAAAAGAUUUCAGGCCUUUGAAAUUUGUUAACGUUUGCUUUGUGGUUUAGUAUACGUCAAUUUUAGUAACUGCUCCUUAUGCACUGAAAAGAACAUUUAUUCCUGCUUUGCAGUGUUUUAUAAACAUCAAUUAGAUUAGGUUUGUUUAUUGCAUUGCUUUGGUAUUCUUUGUUCUUACUGAUUUCCCUCCCUGCUUAUUCUACUCAUUAUUAUGAGAAGUAUGUUAAAGUUUGUCACACUGAUGUGCAUUCAACUAUUUCUUUUAGUUCUAUAAAUUUUUACCUUAUAUAUUUUGAAACUAUAUUAUCAGAUGCAUACAAAUUUAGAGAUUGUUAUAUCUUCUUGGUGAAUAAAACCUUGUAUUAUUAUCAAA